This 71-nucleotide transfer RNA is filed under the name uncultured archaeon. Its description in RNAcentral is "tRNA-Trp(cca)". It matches the Rfam family "tRNA". From Rfam's summary of the family: Transfer RNA (tRNA) molecules are approximately 80 nucleotides in length. The record is from RNAcentral.
GGGUGUGUAGUUCAAAGGUAGAAUAGUCGGCUCCAGACCGAUUGACGAGGGUUCGAUUCCCUCCGCGCCCA